RNAcentral lists this ribosomal RNA (497 nucleotides) under uncultured bacterium. Its description in RNAcentral is "partial 16S ribosomal RNA". It matches the Rfam family "Bacterial small subunit ribosomal RNA", at positions 28 to 507 of the family's 1533-position model. The record is from RNAcentral.
GAUGAACGCUGGCGGCGUGCCUAAUACAUGCAAGUCGAGCGAACAGACGAGGAGCUUGCUCCUCUGACGUUAGCGGCGGACGGGUGAGUAACACGUGGAUAACCUACCUAUAAGACUGGGAUAACUUCGGGAAACCGGAGCUAAUACCGGAUAAUAUAUUGAACCGCAUGGUUCAAUAGUGAAAGACGGUUUUGCUGUCACUUAUAGAUGGAUCCGCGCCGCAUUAGCUAGUUGGUAAGGUAACGGCUUACCAAGGCAACGAUGCGUAGCCGACCUGAGAGGGUGAUCGGCCACACUGGAACUGAGACACGGUCCAGACUCCUACGGGAGGCAGCAGUAGGGAAACUUCCGCAAUGGGCGAAAGCCCGACGGAGCAACGCCGCGUGAGUGAUGAAGGUCUUCGGAUCGUAAAACUCUGUUAUUAGGGAAGAACAAAUGUGUAAGUAACUAUGCACGUCUUGACGGUACCUAAUCAGAAAGCCACGGCUAACUACGUG